UAUACCGAAUCCAUCACUCCCACCUAGACACGUUAUGAACGAUAUUGGCCAACAGAAACAGUAGAAGAGGUUUCACACUAUAAAUGGGUCUAUACCACGGCCUAAAAACUAUUAUCCUGCAGAUAGUAAAGAGAAUAAUUUUUCAUCGGAACAUCGUUAGGUUAGAAAAUUCGUUAACUAUCGUCAUCUUAACUAUACGUUCUUACGCGUAACUAUCUCAAUAAUAUUUUUUAUUCAGUCGCUUUAUUUAAUUCUAUGUAUUAUAUAUUAUCAAUAUUUUAC
Non-coding RNA from Cinara cedri, 282 nucleotides. The record is from the annotation of a GenBank genome assembly. NCBI's taxonomy places the organism in Eukaryota, Metazoa, Arthropoda, Insecta, Hemiptera, Aphididae.